Molecule: transfer RNA, 73 nt
Filed under: Microcoleus sp. FACHB-1
Lineage: Bacteria; Bacillati; Cyanobacteriota; Cyanophyceae; Oscillatoriales; Microcoleaceae
Also listed under: 3 other names
Description: tRNA-Pro
Rfam family: tRNA
About the family: Transfer RNA (tRNA) molecules are approximately 80 nucleotides in length. Their secondary structure includes four short double-helical elements and three loops (D, anti-codon, and T loops).
Source: RNAcentral
CGGGAUGUAAUUCAGCGGCUAGAAGCCAUACUUUGGGAGUAUGGAGUCGCAGGUUCAAAUCCUGCCAUCCCGA